CUCCAUCCUUUCUCCAUGCGCCUUCAUCUUAUUAGCAAUGGUCAAUGUCCUGGCAAAGUACUCAUCGACUUUUUCACCCUCCUUCAUACCAAGGAUCUCGAACUCUCUCCUCAAGGCCUGUAGCUGCGCACGUUUCACCUUGGUAGAGCCUUGAUACUUCUGUCUCAUUGAAUCCCAGAUAGCCUUCGCAGUCUCCUUAUUGAGUAUGGUCUCAAU
This 216-nucleotide long non-coding RNA is filed under the name Phaseolus vulgaris (common bean). RNAcentral's name for it is "long non-coding RNA (PVUL_LNC000404)". Lineage: Eukaryota; Viridiplantae; Streptophyta; Magnoliopsida; Fabales; Fabaceae. The record is from RNAcentral.